UAAGAUGGACCUCUCUUUGUAGUCCCCAGCAGAGUCGCCAGUUCUGUCAUACGGUGAACUGGACUUUAUUGGAUUUGUAAUCGCAAUGUCGCGGUUAGCAAGAGUCGCCACCGACUUUUCUUUUAUCCCAUAAGGAAAGGUGGAAAAGAACAGGAAAGACCUUAAUUUUAAAUUCUUAGGUUCGGGAGGUACUUUAUACAAAGGGAAGG
RNAcentral lists this long non-coding RNA (209 nucleotides) under Lathyrus oleraceus (garden pea). RNAcentral describes it as "Pisum sativum (pea) long non-coding RNA (PSAT_LNC013136)". The record is from RNAcentral. Lineage: Eukaryota; Viridiplantae; Streptophyta; Magnoliopsida; Fabales; Fabaceae.